GGGAAGCGAAGGAAGCCAGUGUCUGGCGGUUCUGCUUCUCCGACGGUCCCCGGACCGUCGGGCUGCGCUUCCGCUGUUGCCAGGGCCGGGUCGGGCCGCGAGAAUCGGCGUCCCUGGGAGGUACGCCUCUUCGGAGGUGGAAUGCCGGGGUGCUCUCCGUCGCGGCCUUGGGCCGGCCCUGACAAAAUGGCUUUCUUCACCCCGUCUUGAAACACGGACCAAGGAGUCUAACAUGCCCGCGAGUACAGGGGUGGUAAACCCCCGUGCGCAGUGAAAGUGAACGUAGGUGGGACGCUUCGGCUGCACCAUCGACCGACCGUGGCCCCCCGGGGUCGAGGUUUGAGUGUGAGCGCGCAUGUUGGGACCCGAAAGAUGGUGAACUAUGCCUGAAUAGGGCGAAGCCAGGGGAAACUCUGGUGGAGGCUCGUAGCGAUUCUGACGUGCAAAUCGAUCGUGAGAUUUGGGUAUAGGGGCGAAAGACUAAUCGAACCAUCUAGUAGCUGGUUCCCUCCGAAAUUUCCCUCAGGAUAGCUGCAACCUUUUUCUCAGUUUUAUCAGGU
Molecule: ribosomal RNA, 560 nt
Filed under: Sargassum sp. ZR-2015
Lineage: Eukaryota; Phaeophyceae; Fucales; Sargassaceae
Description: LSU rRNA
Rfam family: Eukaryotic large subunit ribosomal RNA
Source: RNAcentral